This 464-nucleotide ribosomal RNA is filed under the name uncultured bacterium. Its description in RNAcentral is "bacterial SSU rRNA". It matches the Rfam family "Bacterial small subunit ribosomal RNA", at positions 338 to 794 of the family's 1533-position model. The record is from RNAcentral.
CCUACGGGUUGCAGCAGUGGGGAAUACUGCACAACGGGCGCAAGCCUGAUGCAGCCAUGCCGCGUGUACGAAGAAGGCCUUCGGGUUGUAAAGUACUUUCAGCGAGGAGGAAGGCAUUAAGGUUAAUAACCUUAGUGAUUGACGUUACUCGCAGAAGAAGCACCGGCUAACUCCGUGCCAGCAGCCGCGGUAAUACGGAGGGUGCAAGCGUUAAUCGGAAUUACUGGGCGUAAAGCGCACGCAGGCGGUCUGUCAAGUCGGACGUGAAAUCCCCGGGCUCAACCUGGGAACUGCAUCCGAAACUGGCAGGCUAGAGUCUUGUAGAGGGGGGUAGAAUUCCAGGUGUAGCGGUGAAAUGCGUAGAGAUCUGGAGGAAUACCGGUGGCGAAGGCGGCCCCCUGGACAAAGACUGACGCUCAGGUGCGAAAGCGGGGGGAGCAAACAGGAUUAGAUACCCCGGUAGU